UGCACUUCCAGAAUUCUCUGUGGCGUGCUGCUGUAGAAGACAAAGGUAGAAAGAUGGCUCUGCUGAGAUGGGCUCUUAAUUAAUGCACUGAGAGCCUGUGAGUCCCACCUCUCAACAGGAAUGAUUGACGUCCAAGGAUACAUAAAUUACACUAAUUGAGCUCUGCCUCUAUAUAGGCUUUCCACAGCCAACUCAUCCGAGAAGCGAGGCUUGAACCACAUUGAUAUCUUUGCUUUGGUGACACGAGUGACACGCCACAAAACUUGUGGAAGGAUAUACUUUUUGG
Long non-coding RNA from Acomys russatus (golden spiny mouse), 286 nucleotides. RefSeq lists it as uncharacterized. The record is from RefSeq and is a predicted model, not a curated record. The transcript is spliced from 3 exons. Lineage: Eukaryota; Metazoa; Chordata; Mammalia; Rodentia; Muridae.